GCCCGGCCGUGCGCCGUCAGAAGGGGUUAUUUCAGGAGAGAGGAGGAGGCGGCCUUAGGAAGCGGAGAAGAGGAGCAGUCGGAGGAAGAGGGUAGAAGACCACGGCAGGGUACGCCUGCACCAAGGGAGACGACCUUUCGUUCCCAACAAGCGGUAUCAAACGAAUGGUUAGAGCCAACUGGGAUAGGUUCGACGGGAGUUGAUUAUGAUGGUCGUGGUCAAAUAAAAAGCUUUAUUUGGACCCUAAGGCGGUACGGGGCGCCGUUCAGGAGGAGGCCGCCGUCGAACAAGAUGGCCUCCUUCGUGAGUACCGCGGCGCUACUCAAUCACUCGUCCUCGUGGGACGUAGACGACCUGAAGCUACUGCCAUGUGGUGGUCUUGUACGAACCUCUUCUUUUAAUUCAUCAGUGCGAUUAUCUGACUUCCUCAAGUUACAAUGCAAGUCUCUUCGAAAAUUUUACUACUUCGAACCGGAGGCCGAAACCAGUAUACAAGCUCUUCUUCGAAGGGUCCCUUCCUUUCGUGGCUAACUAGGUAAGUGCUCCCUCUCGUGGUUUGGUAGUCGGAGUGUUCCUCAUGGGGAACCACCCUACCCCUGACCAUCGUAUAGUUCUCCAAAAUCUCCCCUCAAGUUUGUAACCGUCUAUUGGGGACCAAGUACACUAUACAGUGGUCACUACCUUUUGGUUAAAAGCUAGAAAUAUUGAUCUCUUCCUCCUUGGUUUUUCAUGAGGAGUCAAAAUCGAGGACCAGUCGUACUACCAAAUUUUUUUAGAUCGCUACUACCGUAUAGUAGGACCCUAACCUUUAAUUCCCCACUGGCAAGUUGUAUGGUACGAAACAAAGGAGCUCGUACCUGACAAAUACUACCACUUGGACUAGGACUUGACUUUAAUAGAACGGCAGUUUAUAGAGGUAAAUAAGGGGUGUUGAUGCUUCUCUCAUCAGAGGGUCAGAGGCAAAAACAGAUGUGAGAUCACUUAUGGCCUUUCCUUUCCCGUUUUCAGUCGGAUCAUUACUGGACCCGCUUAAGAUAACCACCUGAAAGUGUAGUCAGACCACCAGUACAUUUACUUGGUAAGUAACCUCUUUUACCUUAAAGACCACAAGAGGAUGUAGUGUUCUGACGGUUGUUAUUAGGAGGUCAUUGUAAACGACAACGACGUGCACUUUUGGUUUUACAACUACAGUGUCACAACGGUUAAAAACCCGAAAGACCUCUUUCAAGUCAGUGACGAUUCCUCUACACCCCGUGUUACCAGGUCCCACCAACGAAACUGGCUCUAUUAAAGUUACGACCGGGGUCGUACGGAAGAAGUCACCCACUAUGUCAAACACGUCGUCAAAGACGAAGUUGGACCCAACUUGGUGUACCUUCUACAUGCCAGCAUAAAAGCAAUCGAACCAGAAGAGGGUUCCAAUUUAAAUUCUUCCCUUCAUGCAUGGUGUCCUCUAUAUGUUUCAAGAUGCCUUGAAGGGGUUCUAGACGAUAUUUGGACCGCGUUCUACGGAACUACUUCAUGUUCGUAACCCUUCUCCUUUAGCUAUUCACCGUCUGGGGUUAAGAGGCACUACUUUCCAAAGGUCUUACCAUGUUUUAAUGAGAGAAGUUACUCAAUAUGAAGGAUCAUCGCCCUCCUUGACAAACCUAACUGUCACUAAACUCAAGUUCAGAUGGACUCCUGUCACUAAACGGUGAAGUAUUGUCGUGAACGUUGAGAUGUCAAGGUGAAUAACCAAGAUCGGGUGGACUGAAACUACUGUUUCUUUUACAACCCUUCAAAAACAUGGAACUUCCUCACCUCAUGAAGUACACCACGUGAAUGCUACAUGUGAAGAUACGAAGCAAACGAGACAACCUAGAGAAAGGAUUCUAACUCGACUCAUAAGUUGCCCUGAAACGAUCUCGACAAAACGCACUUCUAUCUUGAUCUCAGUCUAAAGAACGACUACCAUGUACCCCGUGUGCGUUUCAUUAACCUCGACAAGGGGUACUAGAGCCUCGUGUACUAGGAACCGUACUUAACUUACGUAUGUUAUAUGUACUAUGUUCAUCUACCUUUCUAGACUUAGGGUUCAAACACGAGGUUCAAAUGUCCCUAAAACGACGUUGUCUGCUGUACAGUAAACCGUCCCUACAGACCGGACGUCAAACAUGACGAUACCUUAUGUAACUUGUCAAACUAGCACUACCACUAACAUACUAACUCUUACUACCAAAAGGACUAGUUUGAAUACUACGAACCUGACAAGAACCUCAUUCACGGAUAACACCAACAGAAACCGAACGACGGGAAGUUCGACGUCGGCGUUACCGGGCGUCGGAACCCGUACUACUGAUACGACUGUCCACGUACCACUUUAAACGUUUCCGAUUCGUGCACAAACUUCGGUUCAAUACCUUACCAAGUAUAAAGUUAAUACUAUCACCUUGUUCAAUGUCAUCGGUGAGGUAGGUCCGUCUAGUCAACCGGCCUGUUACCAUGUGACGUAGUAGACCGAACGGUGGAGACAAACUACUCCUGUCUUAUUUUACGUGCGAAGUUUUUUAUAAACUGAUAUUACACUACUCCCACUUUCCUCCUGCGUAACCUCGUCAGUUACCAUACGUGGGUUUACCCUUCCAUCUGCUCUGUACAUACGUCAGUUCUCUUUAGACCUGACCUCAUUGUAUGUCAAAUCGACGUUGCUACGACGAGGUACCUUACCUCCUAGUCCGAAAGUGAUGUCGCGUUCCGUAAAAAGAACGUCCUACCAGACUUCUCCCGAUACCCAUAACCAAAGUUUGAGGUCUUCGUACCUGAUAACUACCGGUGAUAUCUAGCGACUAUAUAUACGCGGGCGAACGCUAUACCCGUUACGUCGUACGCGACAGAGGAGGUUCCCGCUAGGAGCUCCGGGGUUUCCCGCCUGCUAGACUUAGAAACCAGAGUUUCUACGUUCUUAAGGGUCGCGGUUUACGAGGAGGUUCUAACCUCAAGAUACAACAGUUUGGAACGGCGCUCUAACGUUGGAUUACAUGAGAAACCGAUAGGGGAACGAGAAGAGAUAAGAAGUGUUGGGCGACAUUGGAAGUAGACACAUUUGUAAAGAUAUUUCAAUAUAUCCCAAGUCCGGCCGCGUUCGGGCAGCAACUGUGCAUUUUUUGUAAAAAAAAGACGGUAAAAGACAAUGAUGCACCGUUGAAAACAA
RNAcentral lists this ribosomal RNA (3193 nucleotides) under Triticum aestivum (bread wheat). Its description in RNAcentral is "partial small subunit ribosomal RNA". The record is from RNAcentral. Lineage: Eukaryota; Viridiplantae; Streptophyta; Magnoliopsida; Poales; Poaceae.